GCGGUGCAAGAUCGGGCGAGCUCGGCAGGACGACGGCGUUCUCCGGCGUCCCUCUUCACCGUCGACGGUAUUAUCAUCAGUAAGACCCCCCUCCUCAUCUCUUCCCGUAUCCUCCUCCAUGAACUUCUGAAUUUCUGGGAUUAGGGUUAUUGGUUUUUGGGAGCGGUGCUGGGAAAGAGGAAGAAGACCAAGGAAAGGAAAGGAAAGGAAAAUGAGAAGCUCGGGUGAUGGAGGUAAUGCUGGAGAAGGGCUCCUGGCGGUGGGAUCAAUUCUAGGAGGAGGUGGAGAUCAUAGCAGAGGAUAUGAAGGCCGUGUGGAUGACAUAGAAGAAGAGGAGGAGCUCAAGGCUGCGGAGAAAAAGGACAACAGUAGAGUAUCAGACUUCCAUCUAGUUGAGAUCAACUUUUGUUUUCACGGGACAUGUGAAUCCUCUCUCUGAUUUGGUUUUGUCUAAAUUUCACGAAUUUUCAUCCUGAAGUAAAAAAAUGAUGGUUCUGACUUGAUUGAAUGUUAGUAGUGAUGUACAUAAAGAAUCAGCCUGUACCUAGCUGACAAUGCUAAUUCUCUGUAAAUUUGUGUUAAUCAAAAUUUGCGCAUACAUACGAGCAAUAUUUCUUCAACUAAAGAAUAUUCACCUUCCGAAUUUUUUUGUUUUAUGCUAUUCUUAAGAUAAGAUUUAUAUCGGUGAUGCUAGCUUUAUGUUUUGUGAAUUUAUCAGGCAAACCAAUAAUUCAAAUUCUGCCAAGAAAUCUAGGAGCAGAAGAAGAUGUAUGCUUUAGGUGUACGUGAAUCUUUAAGCCGUUCCUUUCUAGGAAAAUUUCUAAGACUGUUUUUGUUUUACCCAAAGGUUUUCAAGCUUUGGGUGCCUGCGGCCGGCUCGACGGGUGGCAUCAGCAAGCGCCGGCCGGCCUCGGCACUGCUGUUGGUGGUUAUAUGGUGGGCGGAGCACACUAGUGGGCUUCAACGUCAGGAUGCACCAGCAACAGAACAUGAAGAAUGUUGUGGCGAGGUGAGCGAAAUCUGGCAGAUUGCGGACAGAGGCCACGGAAGGUGACCGGAACCCCAACGUGGCCCUGAAAUCAACCACCAAUGGGCAAGCAUAGAGGAGGUGACUCGCUGACUGCAGCGGGGAAUGGCGGAGUGGGCAACUAUUCCACGCUCUAAAAUUGAGGUUUAGAGCAAUUAAAAAGAAUCAUGUUCCUGCUUUUUUCUCCUUGCUGUGAGUGUAUUGGAGUAUAGGGUUCUCCCUGGAGGGUCGUGUAAUCAGUGUGCUAUCUGAGGCAAUGUAUAGAGUUCCAGUUCUGUUUUUCUUGAGAGCUGACCCUGUAAAUUCUAGCUCUGUUUUCUUUGAGCUGAUAUGUAAAUUCUUCAAUGUUUAAAUAAAGUUCAGCCUCAGGCCCUUAAAGAUAAUACUACUCCCCAGAUUAAAAGGUGAUGGUGUGUUUAUAUGUUAACAAUAAGGUUCUCUUAGGAAUGCCAUUCAAAUAAAAAUAUUUUGUGUAAUUGAGGACGCAAUUCCAGAAAUGGUACCUCCAGAAAGAUUACAACUGAGAUUGCCAUCACACCAAAUCUAGAUGAAACUAUUGAGCGAAAAGGAGAAAACACAAAUUGAAUGCAUCACUAUCUCGUUGUUUCUCUAGGAGCAGAAAAAGAUAUUUUUAAAGGAACGGAGUAUCAUGUGAUGCAGCUCGUGCACAUAGAGGUAGUUUGAUGCGGAGGUAAAGUUACCGUGCGAGCUUAUUGUCUCUUACGGCAGUGGUUCGGGUGCGCAGACUUAGUAAGCGCCAUAACUUACUUAGCAUGCAUGAGGGAAAUUUACGUCACAACCUUUGUUUCUUAUGGCAGCGCCAUAACAGUUUCUCACAGGACGUAGCUUAGUGCCAUGCAUAAUGUAAGAUUACCUCUCUCCCUUUUAUACGGCUGAGGAAUGGUUUCUUCCUCCCCAUAGUAAUCUUACCUCACCUGUUUUUAUUUCUUAUGUUUCAAAACUCUGGAUGUGGGAUAGGCUGGGGUGAGGAAUAAGAA
This is a non-coding RNA of Aegilops tauschii subsp. strangulata, 2025 nucleotides long. Lineage: Eukaryota; Viridiplantae; Streptophyta; Magnoliopsida; Poales; Poaceae. The record is from RefSeq and is a predicted model, not a curated record.